GGACCAUGGUGGUGAGCCUUGGGGUUGGUUUCGGUCACGUCUUCAACGGCUUCCAGUGUGGAGGAGUUACCGAAAGUGAAGUAGCCCUCAGUUGCCAAAUGGUGACGUCUUUUUUUAAAUUACGGUACUGAAAAUCCCCCAAACAAAUGCAAGUUGGGAAGCAGAUUAAAUGGACUCCUCUCCAGGAUUUCCCUCUUUCAGGUUCAUUUCAAGCAUGUCUGUCGUUUCUCUUUACAUAACUGUUGGAACACUUUGCUGAAAUGAAAGGGAUUUCUGGCCGGGGUCCAGAGACGGGCUUGUGGUGCGUGUGUGUGGUAUCCUGAGUGCAUGCUCGGAAUCCCAGAUCCUGGUCUAGAGAGCAAAGUCAAUCUCUUUGCACAACCUAACCCCCCUUCCCCACAGACAAGGGUCACGAGCCCCCCCCCAAAUCAAGAUUUCCCACCCCAGGGCCAGGUGCUCCGGCCCCCAGAAAUCCUGGCUAUUGAGCGGAGAUCCAUGGGUCUACAUUUCUAGCAUUGAUUGGCAAAUGCUACUCUAUAUUCAAGUAUAUUCAGUGAUAGACAAGAAAAGUGAUAGACCCUUAUACAGAGUCAGACCCCAAUGGGACCACUGCCUUCAGCAUCGGGGCCUUGGUUGGGGGCCACUUCUGAAGAAGAUUGCUGAGCACCUGACCCUGCGGGGUUAUGGACAGACACGUUUGUGCUUUUAUGGAGAGUGUGUGUGUGUGUGUUUGCCUUCUACAGAGUCAGCCCACUGGACCACCUCGGUCAGGUAACUGGAGAGUCAACGGGGGAACUUAGGAGAUGUGGCGUUUCUGCUCAGCUGCUGGACUGCAGCUGCCACCUUAAAGGGAUAGCUGCCCACCAGGCCCACACAUUUUGGCCACCGGUGCCACUUUGGGGCAACGAAGACUCAAGAGUGAUCUUUGGCAACGUCUAAGCCCCUAGAGAUGGACAAUCGGAGACAGCCUUGCUGCACUUACAGUGGUGUGUGUUUACACACGUACUGUGAUAUUCUCUACCAUCUGAAAGACUUUUGCUCCUCCCACUUUUUGUGCUAUAGCUUUGCGCUUUUUAUAUAUAGUUAUUAUACCGUCUCGCUGUAUUUGUUGGGCUUUUAUGCAAAUACACCUUUUGUGCCUUUUAUCCUUGUUUAUGCCUUUUAUUCCUUUAAGUCUGGUGGGCCUUUUAAGGCUAUUUUCUGCCCUUUUAUGCAUGUCAGUACUUUUUAAAGUUUCCUUAAGACCUGUCAGCUAUCUUUCAGCAUUAUGCUUUGCACUAUGUAACCAUCCCAUGUAUUUUAUGCUGGUCUAUAACCUCAAUAAAGAUGCUAGAUUGUG
Long non-coding RNA from Hemicordylus capensis (graceful crag lizard), 1339 nucleotides. RefSeq lists it as uncharacterized. Lineage: Eukaryota; Metazoa; Chordata; Lepidosauria; Squamata; Cordylidae. The record is from RefSeq and is a predicted model, not a curated record. The transcript has 2 exons.